CCGGGGAUAACAGGCUGAUACCGCCCAAGAGUUCAUAUCGACGGCGGUGUUUGGCACCUCGAUGUCGGCUCAUCACAUCCUGGGGCUGAAGUAGGUCCCAAGGGUAUGGCUGUUCGCCAUUUAAAGUGGUACGCGAGCUGGGUUUAGAACGUCGUGAGACAGUUCGGUCCCUAUCUGCCGUGGGCGCUGGAGAACUGAGGGGGGCUGCUCCUAGUACGAGAGGACCGGAGUGGACGCAUCACUGGUGUUCGGGUUGUCAUGCCAAUGGCACUGCCCGGUAGCUAAAUGCGGAAGAGAUAAGUGCUGAAAGCAUCUAAGCACGAAACUUGCCCCGA
This 335-nucleotide ribosomal RNA is filed under the name Salmonella enterica subsp. enterica serovar Rubislaw. RNAcentral's name for it is "partial 23S ribosomal RNA". It matches the Rfam family "Bacterial large subunit ribosomal RNA", at positions 2468 to 2802 of the family's 2925-position model. Lineage: Bacteria; Pseudomonadati; Pseudomonadota; Gammaproteobacteria; Enterobacterales; Enterobacteriaceae. RNAcentral also lists the same sequence under 2 other names. The record is from RNAcentral.